This 946-nucleotide ribosomal RNA is filed under the name archaeon enrichment culture clone C1-31C-A. Its description in RNAcentral is "partial 16S ribosomal RNA". It matches the Rfam family "Archaeal small subunit ribosomal RNA", at positions 1 to 921 of the family's 1478-position model. The record is from RNAcentral.
UUCCGGUUGAUCCUGCCGGACCCCACUGCUAUCGGGAUAGGACUAAGACAUGCUAGUCGUGUGCCUCAGCCAAAAACGAGGCACCGGCGCACAGCUCAGUAACACGUGGCUAACCUGCCCUUAGGGACGAGAAUAACCCCCGGGGAAACUGGGGCUAAUGCUCGAUAGGUGAAGAACUCUGGAAUGAGUCUUCACUUAAAAGAGUCUGCGUUAUGCUCGUAGAUUUCGCCCAAGGAUGGGGCCGCGACUGAUCAGGUUGUUGGCGAGGUAAUGGCUCACCAAGCCUUUUACCGGUGCGGGCCGUGAGAGCGGGAGCCCGGAGAUGAGCACUGAGACAAGGGCCCAGGCCCUACGGGGCGCAGCAGUCGCGAAAACUUUGCAAUACACGAAAGUGUGACAGGGCUAUCCCGAGUGCCAUCCGCUGAGGAAGGCUUUUACCCAGUCUAAAAAGCUGGGGGGAUAAGGAGAGGGCAAGUCUGGUGUCAGCCGCCGCGGUAAUACCAGCUCUCCGAGUGGUGUGGAUGUUUAUUGGGCCUAAAGCAUCCGUAGCUGGCUAAGUUAGUCCCCUGUUAAAUCCAACGAAUUAAUCGUUGGAUCGCGGGGGAUACUGCUUGGCUAGGGGACGAGAGAGGCAGACGGUAUUUCCGGGGUAGGGGUGAAAUCCUAUAAUCCCGGGAAGACCACCAGUGGCGAAGGCUGUCUGCUAGAACGCGCCCGACGGUGAGGGAUGAAAGCUGGGGGAGCGAGCCGGAUUAGAUACCCGGGUAGUCCCAGCUGUAAACGAUGCAGGCUAGGUGUUUGGACGGCCACGUGCCGUUCUAGUGCCCGCAGGGAAGCUGUUAAGCCUGCCGCCUGGGGAGUACGAUCGCAAGAUUGAAACUUAAAGGAAUUGGCGGGGGAGCACCACAAGGGGUGAAGCUUGCGGUUUAAUUGGAGUCAACGCCGG